Molecule: ribosomal RNA, 539 nt
Filed under: Vibrio maritimus
Lineage: Bacteria; Pseudomonadati; Pseudomonadota; Gammaproteobacteria; Vibrionales; Vibrionaceae
Description: bacterial SSU rRNA
Rfam family: Bacterial small subunit ribosomal RNA
Source: RNAcentral
GAGUUUGAUCAUGGCUCAGAUUGAACGCUGGCGGCAGGCCUAACACAUGCAAGUCGAGCGGAAACGAGUUAACUGASCCUUCGGGUGACGUUAACGGCGUCGAGCGGCGGACGGGUGAGUAAUGCCUGGGAAAUUGCCCUGAUGUGGGGGAUAACCAUUGGAAACGAUGGCUAAUACCGCAUAAUGCCUUCGGGCCAAAGAGGGGGACCUUCGGGCCUCUCGCGUCAGGAUAUGCCCAGGUGGGAUUAGCUAGUUGGUAAGGUAAUGGCUUACCAAGGCGACGAUCCCUAGCUGGUCUGAGAGGAUGAUCAGCCACACUGGAACUGAGACACGGUCCAGACUCCUACGGGAGGCAGCAGUGGGGAAUAUUGCACAAUGGGCGCAAGCCUGAUGCAGCCAUGCCGCGUGUGUGAAGAAGGCCUUCGGGUUGUAAAGCACUUUCAGUCGUGAGGAAGGUAGUGUAGUUAAUAGCUGCAUUGCUUGACGUUAGCGACAGAAGAAGCACCGGCUAACUCCGUGCCAGCAGCCGCGGUAAUACG